AUGAAUGGAGAAUCUGGUUUUGGGAGAAGUCUUUUCUCGAGAUUCAUUUUAUUGGGAUCCAGCAGAUAUUUGCUCAGAACACAAGAAAGAAUGCAUCCAUCUAUUUCUUCUUUUCCUAACAGAUAUUUCUAUGGAGGGCAAAUUUCAAAUGCCAUGGCCUACACCAAUACGAUCCUAAAGCUGAGAUUGCAGAGCUACAUAUUUUUCAACGUGAACACUGAGAAAACUCUUGAUGCCUUAUUACUUUUGAUCACUUACAUUAAUGAAGAUUGGAUAAAAGGGGGUCGAGAGUUGGAGCCGGAAGUCGGAGUGAUAUGUUCUACGCCAGAGCUUAAAGUACUGGGACAUCAUAGUCAAUUUAAUCUGACCGUUCAAUCAGCUGAUACAUUCCAAAACAAGAAUUAUGACAUCUUAAUCAUUGCAGCCCAUGAAGUGCCAAACAAUGGCAAGUACAUUAAUUAUAUGAUUACAAGAGCAAGGUAUGUAACAUCCAUUUUAGUUAAAUAUAUUUCAUCAACAGUUCAUUUCAGUAAAUAUAACAAUAAAUGUCUCUUAUCUAGGCACUACCUUUGGAUUGUUGGUGAUGCGACCGAACUUGCAGAAAACAUGAUAUGGAAAAAACUGAUGGAGGAUGCUAAAGACCGUGGUUGUUUCCAAGAGAUCUUCCCACGUUACCCGGGACAGUCUGCUAUCACCGACGAAUAUGGACAUCUUAGCACUUGGGAUAAUCCGAGUUCUACUCAUGGGCUUACUAGUUCAAAUGUAAGUUCUAACUAUUUGUUAAAAAGAGCUAGGUGUCAAUGUGGUUCACAACAUGGUUAUUGCACAAGUUGUCUUUGA
RNAcentral lists this ribosomal RNA (840 nucleotides) under Triticum aestivum (bread wheat). RNAcentral describes it as "partial small subunit ribosomal RNA". Lineage: Eukaryota; Viridiplantae; Streptophyta; Magnoliopsida; Poales; Poaceae. The record is from RNAcentral.